RNAcentral lists this ribosomal RNA (479 nucleotides) under uncultured bacterium. RNAcentral's name for it is "bacterial SSU rRNA". It matches the Rfam family "Bacterial small subunit ribosomal RNA", at positions 29 to 506 of the family's 1533-position model. The record is from RNAcentral.
AUUAACGCUGGCGGUGUGCAUAACACAUGCAAGUCGAGCGCGUGUACCUUGCAGCACAGAACUACUUACAUAUUAAGUGGCUCUGCGCUGUGAGUUGCAUGAGCGGCAAACGGGUGCGUAACACGUUGGAACCUACCCCAAAGUGGGGGAUAACUCCGCGAAAGCGGAGCUAAUACCCCAUAGUCUCGCAAGAGUAAACUUUUUUGGCUUUGGGAGGGGCCUGCGGCCUAUCAGCUAGUUGGCGGUUUAAUAGACCACCAAGGCUAUGACGGGUAGCUGGAUUGAGAGAUCGACCAGCCACAGGGGAACUGAGACACGGUCCCCACUCCUACGGGAGGCAGCAGUGAGGAAUCUUCCGCAAUGGGCGAAAGCCUGACGGAGCAACACCGCGUGAAGGAUGAAGUGGUUCGCCAUGUAAACUUCUUUUCUGAGGGAAGAAUUCUGACGGUACCUUAGGAAUAAGCACCGGCAAACUCUGU